This 184-nucleotide ribosomal RNA is filed under the name Thelephora terrestris. RNAcentral describes it as "partial 28S ribosomal RNA". It matches the Rfam family "Eukaryotic large subunit ribosomal RNA", at positions 1 to 178 of the family's 3401-position model. The record is from RNAcentral. Lineage: Eukaryota; Fungi; Basidiomycota; Agaricomycetes; Thelephorales; Thelephoraceae.
GUUCGAUCUCAAAUCAGGUAGGACUACCCGCUGAACUUAAGCAUAUCAAUAAGCGGAGGAAAAGAAACUAACAAGGAUUCCCCUAGUAACUGCGAGUGAAGCGGGAAAAGCUCAAAUUUAAAAUCUGGCGUGCCUCUGGUCGUCCGAGUUGUAGUUUAGAGAAGCGUUUUCUGUGCUGGACCGU